AUGCAAAUAUUUCAAAAGAGGCGUGAGAAGGUGGGCGACAAAAGCUUUGACCCUUUGGUCCUUGAGGAUUUUGAUUGUGGAAAUGAGUGGGUUGACCCAUCACUAUCAGUACCUCAAGGAGCUCGAGGUUGUCCUGAUGACAUUACAUGGGAGGAUGUUGAUGUGGCAAUUGGUGCAUCUUCAAACCUUUGAGGCCGCAAUCUGCCUAGGACAGCUACUGCACUUCAUAUGGGGCAACCAAGUGUCCGUGUGCAACACUACGGACGCAAGAGACCUACAAUAACAUGGCCAACAAUUCCUGAUGAAGAUGGUGAAGAGGACUUGGAGCAAGAGCAACACUCAAGUAUGCCCAAUGUGGAGGAGGAUUUAGAUUAUGUUGUUGUUGAUGAUGAUGUGAGCAAUGACGAUCAAGAUCCAACUAAUGCCGACCAAGAUGAAGACAACACCAAUGCCACCAUGCAUGAGUUUGAUGAUGAUGGAUUUUGA
RNAcentral lists this ribosomal RNA (486 nucleotides) under Triticum aestivum (bread wheat). RNAcentral's name for it is "partial small subunit ribosomal RNA". The record is from RNAcentral. Lineage: Eukaryota; Viridiplantae; Streptophyta; Magnoliopsida; Poales; Poaceae.